CAGUCUCCGCGGUAAUACGAGGGGUGCAAGCGUUAUUCGGAUUGAUUGGGUGUAAAGGGUGUGCAGACGGCUUAUUAAGUCACUUGUUAAAUUCUUCGGCCUAACUGAAGGUCUGCAAGUGAUACUGAUGAGCUAGAGGGUGGAAGAGAGAAGUGGAAUUCUCGGAGUAGCGGUAAAAUGCGUAGAUCUCGAGAGGAACACCGAUGGCGAAGGCAGCUUCUUGGUCCAUUCCUGACGUUCAUACACGAAAGCGUGGGGAGCAAACAGGAUUAGAUACCCCGGUAGUCCCUGUCUCUUAUAC
This 301-nucleotide ribosomal RNA is filed under the name uncultured bacterium. RNAcentral describes it as "partial 16S ribosomal RNA". It matches the Rfam family "Bacterial small subunit ribosomal RNA", at positions 509 to 807 of the family's 1533-position model. The record is from RNAcentral.